UGAGGAAUGAUGACCUCUGAUUGGUCAGUCAUGAUGACACAGUUUAUGGGUUUGGAGGAUUCCGUUGUCAAGAGCAACAGGGCAGGAUCACCUCUGUAAGGAAAUAAUGUGAUCACAUGGCAAAGAGUCAAGCAAGCCAUGACUAAGGAAGACAAUGAAGCAUGAAACUGUCCUUUCCAGAGAAAUCACAGGCACGGAAUAAGAAGUCCCUGAGGAGGUCUUUCCCUCAUCAAGCUGGGAUAUUCCUUUCAUAUCCAGUGAACUUCAGAGCAACACUGAGUUUUGCUGAAGAAAAUCAAAGGAAAAGAAGAAAUGGGCAUUUGGCUGCUGGGAGACAAGAGACCUACUCAAAGGUGAAGAUAUUUAAAUUGGUUGAUCCCAUCAAGACUGACCCUUGUCCUUGUAGGAUCUUUCUUCUUUCUUUCUUUUUUUUUUUUUUUUAAGAUUUUAUUUAUUUAUCAUGAGAGACACACAGAGAGAGGCAGAGACACAGGCAGAGGAAGGAGAAGCAGGCUCCACACAGGG
This 525-nucleotide long non-coding RNA is filed under the name Vulpes vulpes (red fox). RNAcentral describes it as "lncRNA (ENSVVUG00000023345.1)". The record is from RNAcentral. Lineage: Eukaryota; Metazoa; Chordata; Mammalia; Carnivora; Canidae.